AGUGAACGCUGGCGGUAGGCCUAACACAUGCAAGUCGAACGGCAGCACAGUAAGAGCUUGCUCUUACGGGUGGCGAGUGGCGGACGGGUGAGGAAUACAUCGGAAUCUACUUUUUCGUGGGGGAUAACGUAGGGAAACUUACGCUAAUACCGCAUACGACCUACGGGUGAAAGCAGGGGAUCUUCGGACCUUUCGCGAUUGAAUGAGCCGAUGUCGGAUUAGCUAGUUGGCGUGGUAAAGGCCCACCAAGGCGACGAUCCGUAGCUGGUCUGAGAGGAUGAUCAGCCACACUGGAACUGAGACACGGUCCAGACUCCUACGGGAGGCAGCAGUGGGGAAUAUUGGGCAAUGGGCGAAAGCCUGACCCAGCCAUACCGCGUGAGUGAAGAAGGCCUUCGGGUUGUAAAGCUCUGUUGUUGGGAAAGAAAAGCAGUAUGUGAAUACGCCGAUGUUCUGACGGUACCCAAAGAAUAAGCACCGGCUAACUUCGUG
This 492-nucleotide ribosomal RNA is filed under the name uncultured bacterium. Its description in RNAcentral is "partial 16S ribosomal RNA". It matches the Rfam family "Bacterial small subunit ribosomal RNA", at positions 29 to 507 of the family's 1533-position model. The record is from RNAcentral.